UACGUAGGGGGCGAGCGUUGUCCGGAUUUAUUGGGCGUAAAGAGCUCGUAGGCGGUUCGAUAAGUCGGACGUGAAAUCUCCACGCUCAACGUGGAGGGGCCGUUCGAUACUGUCGUGACUCGAGUCCGGUAGGGGAGUGCGGAAUUCCUGGUGUAGCGGUGAAAUGCGCAGAUAUCAGGAGGAACACCGGUGGCGAAGGCGGCACUCUGGGCCGGUACUGACGCUGAGGAGCGAAAGCGUGGGGAGCGAACAGG
This 254-nucleotide ribosomal RNA is filed under the name uncultured bacterium. RNAcentral's name for it is "partial 16S ribosomal RNA". It matches the Rfam family "Bacterial small subunit ribosomal RNA", at positions 524 to 776 of the family's 1533-position model. The record is from RNAcentral.